Molecule: ribosomal RNA, 388 nt
Filed under: uncultured organism
Description: bacterial SSU rRNA
Rfam family: Bacterial small subunit ribosomal RNA
Source: RNAcentral
CGGAGGGUGCGAGCGUUGUCCGGAAUCACUGGGCGUAAAGGGCGCGUAGGUGGCCGAGCAAGGUCGCGGUGAAAGCCCGGGGCUCAACCCCGGGUCGGCCGUGGCAACUACUCGGCUCGAGCACUGUAGGGGCGGGUGGAAUUCCGGGUGUAGCGGUGGAAUGCGUAGAGAUCCGGAAGAACACCGGUGGCGAAGGCGGCCCGCUGGGCAGGAAGGCUCGCAAGAGCCGGCUGACACUGAGGCGCGACAGCGUGGGGAGCAAACAGGAUUAGAUACCCUGGUAGUCCACGCCGUAAACGAUGGGCACUAGGUGCCUGGGGGAGCGACCCUCCGGGUGCCGGCGCUAACGCAUUAAGUGCCCCGCCUGGGGAGUACGGCCGCAAGGCUG